UCAGGCAACUCAAAGUGGACGCCGUAGACCUCCAGGAUGUAGCCCCUGGUCUCCUCGAAGACAUCUAUGCUGAACCGCAUUCCUCUCUGGAAUGGGAAGCAGACACUGGUUUUAUGCUAGGUGCUGGAGAUAAACAUGACAGUCUCUGCCCUUAGGGAAUCUAUUACAGAAGACCCUGGAAGUGUGGGCACUUUCUGAUAGGAAAAUAAGGAAAUAGUUAUCUGUGUAUGUCAAGGUCUGAGCCAAAGAUCUCCCUGCCAGGACCCAGAUCUCAGGCUUCAGGAAGAGAAGAUGCAGGAAUCCUGAAGAGCACCAGGAGAAGAACCGUCCAGAAGUUGCAAGGGACACUGGAACUUGCUAAGUGGGACCCAAGUCCUUUCAGAGACCAUUACUCUGGCAGUGUACAGAACAAAAAGGAACACUACUUCUGACAAUGGGAGACUAGACCUGCUUAAACAGCCUCUGGCCCCUUAAACCCUAGGACAGUCUACUUCAAGGGGUGGAGUUUGCCUGGCCCUACACUGAACCAUUUGGAAGAUAAAAGGGCUAGAUUGUCCAGGUUCUGUUUGAUUCCUCCAGUUCUAAAUGAUGUGACCUCUGACCUUGGACUUUAUGCUUAUGAAUAAACCAAGCCUCUGUAG
This is a long non-coding RNA of Herpailurus yagouaroundi (jaguarundi), 641 nucleotides long. RefSeq lists it as uncharacterized. NCBI's taxonomy places the organism in Eukaryota, Metazoa, Chordata, Mammalia, Carnivora, Felidae. The record is from RefSeq and is a predicted model, not a curated record. The transcript is spliced from 3 exons.